CCUUAGAGUUUGAUCCUGGCUCAAAACGAACUCUGGCGGCGCGUCUUAAGCAUGCAAGUCGGACGGCAAGGGUUGUGCUUGCACAACUCCUAGAGUGGCGGACUGGUGAGUAACGCGUGGGUGACCUGCCCUCGAGAUGGGGAUAGCCAUUAAAAAUAGUGGAUAAUACCGAAUAAGCUCAUGACCCUGUGGGGAUAUGAAGAAAACAGGCUACGGCCUGGCUCGAGGAUGGCCCCGCGUCCCAUUAGCUAGUUGGUGGGGUAAUGGCUCACCAAGCCUGCGAUCGGUAGCCGGACUGAGAGGUCGAACGGCCACAUUGGGACUGAGACACGGCCCAGACUCCUACGGGAGGCAGCAGUGGGGAAUUUUGGGCAAUGGGGGCAACCCUGACCCAGCGACGCCGCGUGAAGGACGAAGGCCUUCGGGUUGUAAACUUCUUUGGGGAGGGACGAAGAUGACGGUACCUCCAGAACAAGCCACGGCUAACUACGUGCCAGCAGCCGCGGUAAUACGUAGGUGGCAAGCGUUAUCCGGAUUUACUGGGUGUAAAGGGCGCGCAGACGGCCUCGCAAGUCAGAUGUGAAAGCUCAAGGCUUAACCUUGGAAUGUCAUCUGAAACUGCGGGACUUGAGUAUCAGAGGGGAAAGUGGAAUUCCUGGUGGAGCGGUAAAAUGCGCAGAGAUCAGGAGGAACACCGGUGGCGAAGGCGACUUUCUGGCUGACAACUGACGCUGAGGCGCGAAAGCGUGGGGAGCAAACAAGAUUAGAUACCCUGGUAGUCCACGCCGUAAACGAUGAUUACUGGGUGUAGGGGGUAUCGACUCCCUCUGUGCCGAAGCAAACGCGAUAAGUAAUCCACCUGGGGAGUACGGCCGCAAGGCUAAAACUCAAAGGAAUUGACGGGGGCCCGCACAAGCAGUGGAGUAUGUGGUUUAAUUCGAGGCAACGCGAAGAACCUUACCAGGGUUUGACAUCCCGCGCUAGAGGUAGAGAUACCUUGUUCCUUUCGGGGACGCGGAGACAGGUGGUGCAUGGUUGUCGUCAGCUCGUGUCGUGAGAUGUUCGGUUAAGUCCGGCAACGAGCGCAACCCUCGUGGCCAGUUGCCAUCAUUCAGUUGGGCACUUUGGCAAGACUGCCGUUGACAAAACGGAGGAAGGUGGGGAUGACGUCAAAUCAUCAUGCCCCUUAUGUCCUGGGCUACACACGUACUACAAUGGGCGUUACAACGGGCAGCCACACCGCGAGGUGGAGCGAAUCCCCAAAGGCGCCCCCAGUUCGGAUUGCAGGCUGCAACUCGCCUGCAUGAAGCCGGAAUUGCUAGUAAUGGCAGGUCAGCAUACUGCCGUGAAUACGUUCCCGGGCCUUGUACACACCGCCCGUCA
RNAcentral lists this ribosomal RNA (1383 nucleotides) under uncultured bacterium. RNAcentral's name for it is "bacterial SSU rRNA". It matches the Rfam family "Bacterial small subunit ribosomal RNA". The record is from RNAcentral.